AGAAUAUCACAUCUCUAUUAUAAGGAUGUACAAGAAAUUUACAUAAAAUUACAAAAUAUUAAAAAAAAAUUUACAUUGUUCAGGGGCAGUUGAACUGGCAACCGCCCUGCCUCUCACCCAUGUCCAUCUUGGACAUAUUUUGUGUUAUCCUGUGCUUUUAGCCGAGUAUCAUGACUGCUACUUUGAAUGGACGGCUGGGGUAAUGGUGCCUUUACCGUCGGAGGAGAGGCAAGAAGCAACAUUCCUGAAAGUUCAUGGCCAAAAAAAAUAUAAAGUUCAAAUUGCAUCUUAUACUUUGUUUUUCACACUAUAUGUAAGACCCACAAAAUUUUGUUGCAUAGUUACACGUUAUGCAAAGUGAGUCAUACCGUGUGUAAAAUAAAUUCCAUCUUGAGCAUUUUGCACAAAAUUGGCCCGAACAAUUUUCCUGACAACCAUUCGGACCCUGUGUCCCUUUACGGUCUGCUGGGAAAGGUGGUAGAGAGUAAGAAACAAGAUGGAUAGACUCUUGCCAAAGCUCGUCAUGUCUCUCUCAAUCUUACCAGAGGUUUGCUAUCCAAAAGCGUUGGAGCAGAAUAAAUCAAUCCCUUUUCUGCAGAUUAUUGGAGUUGGCAUCAUACAAUUUCUAGUCGAUGUUAAAAUAAAU
RNAcentral lists this long non-coding RNA (646 nucleotides) under Coffea arabica (coffee). RNAcentral describes it as "long non-coding RNA (CARA_LNC000692)". The record is from RNAcentral. Lineage: Eukaryota; Viridiplantae; Streptophyta; Magnoliopsida; Gentianales; Rubiaceae.